Long non-coding RNA from Haliotis rubra (blacklip abalone), 239 nucleotides. RefSeq lists it as uncharacterized. The transcript is spliced from 2 exons. Lineage: Eukaryota; Metazoa; Mollusca; Gastropoda; Lepetellida; Haliotidae. The record is from RefSeq and is a predicted model, not a curated record.
AAUUCAGAAUGUGGCAAUGGGCGACACGGUUAACGUGACAUUGAACGUGGAAAAAGUCCGUCAGUGUUUUUGUCAUUUCAAGCAUACAGACACGUGAUGAGCGAAGGGGCGGGAAAAGAUCUUGAUGAUACGCCAUUGAACCUCAGUCAUGUGACCUCUCGUCCAAAGGAAAAUAUGCACGUUUUGUUAACUUCACAUUUUAAAAAAGUGUUCUGUUAAUAAAACCCGUUAAAUAUGUU